UGAUGGGAUCUGGGGCCCAGGCAGAAGAGGCCCCAGAAUCCUCUCUCACCGCAGGCCUCAAAUCAUUUUUCUCCAUGAUACCAGUCCGAGAUAUGGUCCCCAAGGGUGCUGCUGCAGCAUAUCCUCUCCUGUCCAUUUAAGAAAUUAUUAAUUAUUCUUAUUAAAAGAAAAAAAGAAAAGAAAGAAAGAAAGAAAGAAAGAAAGAAAUCAUUAAUCAUAAGUGAAAGAAAUGAGAAUUAUAUAACAAAGAAAAAGAUUACUUUAAAGAGUUUUUAUAAUUCACAUGGUGAAACAGAAUCAUAUGAUCUAGCUAGCUUGUGCAAACCGAGGUGUUACUAAAAGCGCUAAUAAUCAAUCUGCAAAUGCUUUAGGUUAUUGAAUUAAUGCGUCUCAAGAAUGCGUUUAAAACAAAAUUAAGCGAUUUCGCCUUUCCAAAGUAUUUGCGGAGGAACAAAUAUACAAGGUCCUGUAUAAUAUUAAGGAAAGAUAAGGGUGCAAAAUAAUAUUUAGCCCAAUUAAGACCGUCCCAAUGUUAGUUUACUUUUUGGCCCCUCGUAUUCAUGAUUUUUAUGUUCUAACCCUCGAUGAAUCCGAUCAUUUUAAAAAAUUUUAUUUUUCACAUACGAAAGUCGAUCAAAAUCACAUGGCGAGUUUACAGAAAGGCUACGUUUGUUUUUUUUUUUUCGAAUUCGUUUGUUUGUUAAGUUAUGAAGGAAAAAAAAAAAAGAAAAACAUUUGGGAGAUGACUUGAUCUCUUCUGAAAUGUCACUAGAAAUGUUUAGAUUGAUCAAGAAACAAAUAUAAACAGCUAAGGAUUCAAUGAUGAUGAGAUCAAGCGACACAACGUAGAACAAGAAACAAGAUAAAAUUAUCAUUUCAAAGAAGACCCAAAGAGAGAGAGAGAGAGAAAAAAAAGAGUUCUGUAAACAGACCUGCUAAUGGAGAGCGAGAUGCCAUCAGCAACAGGAGCAAGAAGAAGCUUAGCUUUGAAGAGAGAGCGGGCCAUUGUUUUAUUUACUUAUAGAACUUAAUAGAUAUGAAGAUAGCUAGCUGGGAUGUUUCUGUACAGUGCUACUACAGAAGAAGAAAGAUUCUGCUCCUGCAGUAGCUAUAGGCAAAAGCUAGCGGCUCGCUCUCUUU
Molecule: long non-coding RNA, 1140 nt
Filed under: Citrus sinensis (sweet orange)
Lineage: Eukaryota; Viridiplantae; Streptophyta; Magnoliopsida; Sapindales; Rutaceae
Description: long non-coding RNA (CSIN_LNC003745)
Source: RNAcentral